UCUCAACCCCACCAGACAGGAAGCCACACAGUCACUUCUGGAGGGGAAUAGUCCUGUGAGCUGGGGAUGGAGGGCUGGGAGAGAUGGUGCAGACUGGGACCGGCCACUCCUUGGACGCCUGUGGUGGAGGGUCCUGUCCUUUACCAUGGCCACCAUACCUCUGGGUGUGGACAGCAUCUGCUGAUGGAGGAAUUCCCAGCAAUGUCCCUCUGUGAUGCAUGCGGUGACUUUCCAGGCACCUUCAGACCAGAGCCAGUGGUAGCACUGGCAUCUCAGUCUCCUCCUGUGGGGGCUGGCUCGGCCUGCAGGAUGGCUGGGACACCCUGGACAGCCAGCUCGGGCAUUGUCCUUGCAGAUCCGGGAUGUUCCAGGAACAGCGGUAUAAAUCCUGUUGAGAACUGGCCAGGAGAGACCAGGAUCGGACAUCGGUGGUAUUUGGCCCCUCUGGACACCGGUCUGCAGAAGGAGAGAGGCCACCCUGACGGUAUUCCAGGGCUAGGCCACCCUGACGGUAUUCUGGGGCUCUGGGUAGACUGGUCCCGGUCGGGCCUUAUCGCCAAUCAGCCGACCCGAAGGAGUUUAUCGGGAAAGCCUCUAGAGGUUAUUUGGAAGUGUGUUAUUUAGUUUCCAAAUGCUUGAGGAUUUUGCAGAGAUCUUUCUGUUAUUGAUCUUUAAUUCUUCUAAGAUCAAAGAACAUACCUUUUAAAUUCUUUGAGACUUGAGUAGCAGUUCUGAGCUGUCUGAGGCGAGAGCUGACCUCAGGGGAUGAUAGCAAUCUAUAGGGGAGCUAUGGCAAGAUGUGCUACACCAAAAUAAAUGAUCAAACUCAGGAAGAGGAAGACGUGGUAUAAAGGAAAUCCAGACUCCAACAAAGGACAAAAACAAGGAAUCUCCAGCCUGAUGGUACAGCGAGAUCCCAGGAUGGCAACUGCACAUGGGAAUAAAAAGACCACCAGCCUUUCAAAAUGCAGCAGUGGAUACAAGAGACAUUCUGCUGCUGAGGAGCUCAACCAAAUGACAUCUGAAGAUGUUGCAACCACAGGUCACAAUGACUCAACUUUUACAAGCAAAUAAAAAGAAAAAGGGCUCUGUCAAAAACCAUUUUCUAUAAUUUUUUUGGAAAAAUCAUUUCAUAAUUAAAUCAUGGUUUGGG
Molecule: long non-coding RNA, 1153 nt
Organism: Heterocephalus glaber (naked mole-rat)
Lineage: Eukaryota; Metazoa; Chordata; Mammalia; Rodentia; Bathyergidae
Source: Ensembl